Long non-coding RNA from Anneissia japonica, 3665 nucleotides. RefSeq lists it as uncharacterized. The record is from RefSeq and is a predicted model, not a curated record. The transcript has 21 exons. NCBI's taxonomy places the organism in Eukaryota, Metazoa, Echinodermata, Crinoidea, Comatulida, Comatulidae.
AUUCACUAGCGGGUGAAUUAACACUCUAAGUAUUGGUGAUAAGUAGGUCUGUAUGUUAUCUUCAAGGUCUUCGUCGUGUAUCUCCCGUUCUCUUGGUUUUCUCCGCACUCCGUGCGGGGUUCUCCAUGGGGUCUUCCAAGGGUGCGUGGAUUUCCCCCGGUGAUUGGCUGCAACGUAUAGAUGACGUCAUUUACAACCAAUCACCGGGGCAGCGGCACGUCAACAUGCCACUGAUCGUUAGGCCUGUCCAAGCCUAAGCUUGCACAGCCUAACUCAAUAAUAGCAGGAUUAACUGAAUUUUGAAGUGAAGGCUCUGCAAGUAUCUGAUGUCAGGUAUUUUCAGUUGAAACUAAACAUUAAAUUUUACCUUCAACUUUCCAACAAGUGUCAAAGGCUAUAGGAAUUGCAAUUUGUGUUUUCGAUAUCGACCACUCCAAAAAUGAAUUUGUUCGCCAAAAAUGUAAGCGUGCGUUUCAAGCUGUCGACCAGGAAAAGAAUAUUAAAAAGGAAUGUCCGGUGCAGUUAUAGAGAACUACUAGGACAAUUGCAAAGUUACUGUAGCAUAGUUAAGAAGAUUGCUGACCUGCGAAACUUAAAGUGCCAGUACAUAAUAAUUAUUACUGUAGUUUCAGAAGUUUUCUUCGAAAGUCAGAGAAAUUCUUUUGCAAGUGAAUGUACAGUGGAAUCUACAGUGAGUAGAAGCAGGGACUCGCUGGUUUCAUAUGAACCAAUUAAAAGCCAGCAAGUUGAGCAGAGUACCCAGUCCACAAAUACAGUGUAACAGCAUGAAUGAUCUCAAUAGCGCCCUCUAUGAUAGUGUCAGGAAUGCAGUUGAAGCAUUGAAUAGUAACAGUAAAGAGAAUUGCUAUGAAGGAGACAAUUGAGGCAGAUUUUAUGCUACCAAAUCUUCCUAGUAGCCUUCAGCAAGACAGAAGCCUUAGUGAGUCAUAUAGGCUUAGCGAUGAUGCCACAGACACACCCGUUCCGAAGCAGUAAGUAAGGCCCACCUGACGAUUGACCUUGAUCUUGAUGGUGAACCUACUCAAACUGAGGUUGAAAGAAUUGAGAUGUGGGAUAAAUCUGUGAAACAAACAAGCCAGGAAAACGUGCAAGCAGUGCGUCUCGCUAUUCAACAUCAAUGAUGAAAGACUACGACCAGCAUUGGAAGAGCUGCAGUCCUGUGAUGAUCCAAAUGGGCAACAGUUGGCUAGCGUCUCUUUUAUAGCACAUAGUGGUUCAAGGAUUUGCAAGUUUAAGAAUCAUGAUGAUUUCUACUUGUAUGUCAAUAUGAAAGAAAUUGUCUUCGAUAGAGAUUUUGGUAAUACUGGAAACCAGAAGAACAAUUAGAGACCGCGCAUAGUGGUUCCAGGAUUUCCAAGUUCAAACAUCUUAUUGAUUUCUACUCGUAUGUUAAUAUGAAAGAAAUGGUCUUCAAUGGAGAAUUUGGUUACUGGAAACCAAAAAGAACAAUUGGAGACAGCAAAAUAUACCACAAUCUAUUUCAGAAGUUUUGCACGAAAGACAGAAAAAUUCAUUUAUAUACGAAAGCACAGUAAAGUCUAUGGUGAAUAGAAGCAGGGCCUCGCUGGUUUCAGAUGAACCAAUUAAAAGCCAGCAAGUUGAGCAGAGUACCCAGUCUACAUAUGACAGCAUGAAUGAUGAGUUUAAUCUCAAUAGCGCCCUCUAUGAUAGUCAGGAAUGCAGUUGAAACAUUGAAUAGUAACAGUAUAGAGGGGACCAAUGGAAGUGCAGUGUUAACUGACUUAACUACAACAUAUGGAUACAAACAUUGUCCUUAACCCGCUGAACUUUCAAUAUAAGGGUUAUUCGAGGAGCAAAGUGAUCAGAAACCGUUUAAAACCUGCUACUAGCCGGGUUUCAACUGGGGUCUUCAGCACAAGAAUACCGACAUGAGAUAAUAUUUGAAUAGGAAGAAUCAUAAAAAUUAUAUGAUUCCUUCUUUUUGAAUAAAAGCUCAAUUAAUUUGCUUGUGUUUUGGUAGUUGCAUGGAAAUAUUGUUCCUUUAUAAUAAAGAUGCAUUACCACAGCCAGUUGUGAUUUGUAUUGCCCAUAUGGUCAACAAAUUGCAUGUCAUUCAGUACUGGAUAAGAAUGCAUUAAUUAUGUCAUGUCAUAAUUAUGUAUCAACCACUUUUCAAAUCAGAUGCAUCUUAAAAACAAAGGUUACUUCUAACGAAUCUGUCAAUGAUGUUGAAGAAACAAAAUGGAACAGAUGUAUUUAAUUCCCAAAAUUUAUCAUAUUCAUUUUAAUUAUUUAAUUUGUUGAAUAAUGCAUUUGGGAGACAGAGGCCUGUAGCCAGUGUGUGCUGGCAGGAUGCGUGGCCUGAUCUGAAGAUUCUCUCCACAGCCACACAAUGCAUGGUGACAGUUCUAAAGCAUAGGCAAGGCCCACCUGAGUAUUGACCUUCGACGUGAUGGUGAACUUACUCAAACUGAGGUUGAAAGAGAUGUGGGAUAGGUCUGUGAAACAAAAUUACAAGCCAUGGAAACGUGAGAACAGCUGCAUGGACUCCAUAGUCUUACACUCUAUGAAGAUAGGCUCACCGGUCUAUAGUUAUAGGCGGAUCUCAACGAACGCUCUUCUUAAAGAUUAGAACGACCUAAGCAAGACAACAACAACAGUAAAGAGGAAUUGAACCCAGAACCCUGUGAUAGCAAAGAAAGUAUCUUUCUACCAAGAUUUUCUGCUUCACUAAUUAUAGCCAUUAGCGGUUGCAGAAAUCCAAGAUGGCCGCCAAAUAUAUAUUUUACUUAAGCUUACUUCUAGGGUGUGUCCAUCAGUGAUGCUGAAGAAACAAACAGUGGUUUGGGAGACAAGACCUGUAGCCAUUUUGUGAUGACAGGAUGUGUGGCCUGUAGAUCUGAAGAUUCUCCCCACAGCCAUGUAAUGUACAGUGACAGAUUGAUUGGUGAUGGAAUAUCCAGACAUUCAGCAAUUUCAGCCUAGCACAGAAUAUAAACAACAUGAGAGCAGCUUCAGCUAAACUUGUGGUAGCCACUGUGUGCAGGGGCGGAUUUAGGGGGGGGGCCGGCCCGGCCCCGGCCCCCCCUUUCGGGAGAUCGUCAUUUAGUUCCAUCUCCUGCUUCAUCAGUGUACUCCUUGAAUGAUGCCUGUUCAUCGUACGAGCAAAGUUGUUUACACCAAGCUCCCCAACACAACAUCAAUAAUCAACGAGUGACAACACCUCCAUCCUAUCAAGGCCAAGUCUGUCCACCAUCACCUUUCAAAUAUGACAGUAAAGUAAAUGUUUUUGGUCAAUAAUUUCUUCUUUUUUUUUUCUAAUUUUUACGAAACUUUUUACAUACUUUGUUAAAAGCGUGGCUCAUCAUUCCCUAUCUAGAGAAUUAUAACAUUUAUUAUGUUUAAUUUAAUAUUUUCAUAUUUAUAAUAAAACCCAAUUUAAUAUUAAGCUACAGUUCUUUAACAGAGCUCAGAUAUUUAAGUUUUUAAGUUUAUUUAUUUGAUCUAAAUACCGUCAAACCUCAAUUUGAAGCCCUGGGCUUCUUUCGAGAUGGGUUUCUUUUCGAGGCUACUUUUGAAAACUAAAGAGGGGGCUUCAAUUUGAGAUGGGCUUCUUCUCAAGAUUAAGCCCAUUGGGCUUCUACUCGAGGUUUUGUGGUAUAUCAAUACUAAUUGUUUUCAAU